Molecule: ribosomal RNA, 254 nt
Filed under: uncultured bacterium
Lineage: Bacteria
Description: partial 16S ribosomal RNA
Rfam family: Bacterial small subunit ribosomal RNA
Source: RNAcentral
GACGUAGGGUCCAAGCGUUAUCCGGAUUUACUGGGCGUAAAGCGCGCGUAGGCGGUCUGUUAAGUGCACAAGUGAAAGCUCCGGGCUCAACUCGGAAAUUGCUUUGCAUACUGGCAGGCUGGAGGGACGCAGAGGUCUGUGGAAUUCCUGGUGUAACGGUGAGAUGUGUUGAUAUCAGGAGGAACACCCAUGGCGAAGGCAGCAGACUGGGCGUUUCCUGACGCUGAGGCGCGAAAGCGUGGGUAGCAAACAGG